This is a long non-coding RNA of Gallus gallus (chicken), 4525 nucleotides long. RefSeq lists it as uncharacterized. The record is from RefSeq and is a predicted model, not a curated record. Lineage: Eukaryota; Metazoa; Chordata; Aves; Galliformes; Phasianidae. The transcript is spliced from 5 exons.
AGGCAAAAGUCUAUUCUGUCCAUAACAGAGCACCAUAAAGUGGUAUUAGAAAGACUGAGCUUGUCCUUGCAGAAAUUCCAUACAAAAUCUUCUCUUUGCCAAAGAGGAGCACUGGCUAUGAAAAGGUGGUCCCCUAAGUAUGACAAAUAUAGAGACCAAGUAAUAUUUUUUCUGCAGUUUCUAAAAUCAGAUAAUUUGGGUUUAUCUGGCAGCCCCACACAACUUGUGUGCAAUCAAAGACAUCAACAGUGGCACUUAAAAUACAAGUACCAUAAAGUGGAUUUGUUAUAGCUCAUUUCCUUGAGCAAAAUCUUAGCCAAAUAAAUUUCUAAGUAACCCCAGAAGAUUAAAUCCCGCAUUCUGUAAUUCUAUUCCAAAUCAUUUUUGUCAUUAUUUAUACUCCCAUAUAUUGUGAUGUGAUUUCGUGAUAAUAGGUCAUUUUGCAGCCUAUUAGUUGUAAAAUUGAGAAUUGAUUUAUCCUCAUUUUCCAGAGUCAUCUAAAAGUUCAACUUGCAUUGGCUGGUUAUAUUUUCUCCGUGACCAAUGAGAGACUCAAUCCUGAGAGGCAGAUGCUUAAACAAGUGGAGUGACUUGUCUUGAGGAACUGCCUCAUGUUCUUUCUUGACUGAUUAUUUUAUAAUACACCUAAUUCAAAUUUUCAGCUAAAGUCAUGCCAGUCAGAUCUCAUCAGUAGGGAAGGAGAAUUUGUAAGUGAAAAAAUAAGCAACAAAAAAAGACAGAAUAUAUGAGAUCUUCUUAUCCAAAAUGUAAUUAACAUAGUAUCUCAGCCAGGAUUAAGGGUUUAUUUUUAGGAAGACAUUCAUAGAAGAUGUUGUUUAGCUAUGAAAAAAGGCCUACCCUGAAUGUUAUACUUAUUGUAAUUGCUGUCAGCAUUACAAAUAAAACAGAAUAUACAUUCUCCAACUGUAAUAAAUCAGCAAUUAGAACUGUCCAUUAAAAUAAUCUGACAUGGUACACAAACUAGACAAGAUGCUUUAUAAAAAUAUCAGUCUUAUGAGUACAUACUGAGAUGAAAAACUUAGCACAAAUGCCACAUUUAUAAUAAUAAAUUGGUUGCCACAUUUCAUCUUAUUGGUUGUUUUCUUCUCUGGAUGAUACAUUUCAGUUGAUUUCUUGUUGCAUACAUCUUUGAAACCAGCCAGAGUAUUGUGUUCUGGAGGUGUCAGCAUAAGAAAAAUAUGGACUUGUUAAAUGAAAUCCAGGGGAGAACCACUAAGGUGAUCAUGGGGUUGGAACACCUCAUCUACAGAAACAAGCUGAGAGGUUGUGGUUAGAGCAGAAAAGGCCCCAGGCAGACCUUAUAGCAACCUUGGAGUACCUCAUAUCAGCUACAGGAAAGAUGGAGAGGAACUCUUCAUUAGGGAGUGCAGCAGUAGAACAAGGGGUGAUGGUUUUAAACUAAAAGAGCAUAAAUUUAGGUUAGAUAUUAGUAAUGAACUAUUCACCAUGCGGGUGGUGAGACAAUGGAAAAGAUUGCCCACAGAGCUGUAGGUGUCCUGGAAAUGUCUAAGGGUAGAUGGGUCUUUGAGGAUCAUGGUCCAGUGAUCCCAUUGCAGAGGGAUUGAAACUAGGUGGUCUUUAAUGUCUCUUCCAGGACAAACCAUUCUAUGAUUCUAAUGCAAGAAAUCAAGGAGCUUAAUUCUGUUUUCUUUUUGUAAGAUUUUCAAUGUAAUCGUAAGUUAAACUAUUUCAUACCUACCUUGUUUCUCAGUCCACAGGAAGAGCAUUUUGAAUGCUCUGUUCAAAUGCAUUUAGAAACUGCACUGCAAAGUUCAUAUCAAAUGCAGAGAUCCUUAACAGAAAAGUAAUGUGUAAAAAUGAAAAUAUUGUUUUGUAUUAACCGAUCUUCUAUCAGGGAUACAAUCUAGAAUAUAAAUUUUAACAGGUGUUUAUGAUCAGUUAUCUGCUUGACAUUAGAAACUGCUUUCUCUUUCAGCAGCAGUUUGCAAGGUUUAUGACUCCCUUCUGCCUUUUCCUGAAACAAAAUGAUUACUGACAGAUAGACUUUUUCAUGUACUUAAGAGCACAAUAGAUUUUCAAAGUAUUGGCAUCAAGUCUCAAAUCUUCAACUUUAUGACUCAUUUCCUAUGAGCAUAAUUCUCUUUCCUGAUGUAAGCUAUUAUUAGUUUGUUUGGUUUAUUUCCUACAGCAUGUUUUCAGAGUGGCAGGUUUUGUCAAAUAUGCCUCAUAGGUUUUAAUUCUAACAGAAUAAUAAUAGCAGGUGUGUAGGGGGAGGGCAAUUAAAAAUUUUGUAUUUCACAUAGUUCAUACUUAUCCAAAAAACAUCCCUGCCAAAGAGUAGCAAUGACGUGUUGGAGAGGUGUCCACAAAGGUGUUUGAACAUCUUCUCCAUGACAUCGUAGGGAAGUUAUUAGAUGUAUUUUAGUUAGUUACUAAAUGGUAAAGACUAAUUCAACCCUAAAACAUUACUGAAUUCAACCAUACUAGAUGAGGAAUGUAUUCUGAUAGGUCUCAGUUCUAUUAAAAAAUUUUGCUUUACACUUCAGAUGAUGUCAGUGUUGAUAGAAUUUGUGGUUGGGUCAGUGAUCAGACAAAAAUAUGAUAAGUGUGCAGAGGCUGAAUGAAUCUCUUACAUUCAAAGUAAGAGAUAUGGACAUAUGGACAACCAUGGGAUUGCUUCUCAGGUUGGCCUUUGAUGGUCUGUGAUGGAGUACAAACAUGGCCCUAUAUACUCAAAGAAAUGAGAUGGAACUAGGUAAUCUUUGGGGUCCCUUCCAACCCAAACCUUUCUGUGAUUCUAUGGUUCAAUGGUUUUCCAUUAGAAAAUCUUGAAAAACAGCCACUCAGCUUUUGAUUUCUCAUUCUUAAGAAAGAGUUACAAAAAGCUUGGAAAGCUGACAUGAAAACUUACAUACAUUAGGUCCAUAGAUGCUAAAUCAUGAAGUCAAUAAAGGUAGUUAUCCUUUUUUAUCACAAUUCGCCAUUCUACUUGUUGAAGUCAGUUGACAUACACUCUUUUCUGUUGUACAUUAAAAAUAUCCUGUUCCUUUUCCUAAUCUCUUCUCUUCAUGGUGUGUCCUCCACUCCUCAUGGGUGCAAACUAAUUUUUUCUUAUCUGAGAAACCUCAUAAAAUAUCCACAACUUUCAUUUAGAUCUGAAACUUCUUGCUUCUCCUUCAGACUUGAAGAAGUGUUUGUUAUACUGGAAAUAUUGUCAUAUUUUGUCUAAUGCAGUUUUUCUUUUGCUUUCCAACCUUAUUUUGCUUAUGGUUACAGAAAGACUCAGCUAGGUUUACAUUUGAAUCACACUUUCUGUUAAUAACUGCAUAUCAGCAAGUGUACUAUUUUAUUCAUGUAGGGCCUUGGAUGAAACUCCUGGGAAGAAGAGAGACAACAUUCAGACUAACUGCCAGAUUGCAUGAGGCCCAUUUGAGAAAGCAAUAUUCUGGCCCAGAAAAUACAGAACUAGAAUUCAGAAAGUACCUUAAGUAGAUUCCACAGGCAAUGAAUAUUGGAGAAGAGGUGGAAAAUUCCUCAAUUCAAGAUGAGAAAUCCUUGAAAAGUUGUAAAAGACAGCGCAGAAUAGACUGGGUGCCAUGAAGAUGUGAUGUUCUGCUGUCUCUUUCUUUUUUGUGCUGUUGGCUGAUGGACCUGAUGUACCUCCACCGCAGUAAUCUAAAGGGACAGCCUAAGAACAGAAAGGCCUUUCAUCUUACUGGCAACAAAGAGAGAGUCCAGCUGCAGUAGGAUGCCUCAUUGGGAGGAAGAAGUUGAAGUUGUUGAGGGACCAUCUACAGACAACAGAAAGCAGCCUCAGAAUCACAGGCACUGGUUCUCAUGGGAGACUUCAUUCACACUGUCAUUUGCUGGAAGACAACACUGCCAGGCACACACAGUCCAAGGGGCUCCUGGGCUGCUGACCAUUUCCGGGCUUGCUUCCUGAGGUAUUUCUUGUGACAAGACUCUAACUGAUUUAUGGAGGUGGCAAAUGAUGGGUGCUACCGUGUGACAAUCAACAUCACUUUGACUUUUGAAAGCACCUUCCUCCAGAGCUGCUUGCCUCUGGAAGAGAGUGCUCAGGAGUGGCUACUGGUGGAAGAUCUGGCCUAAGAGCCCCAGCUUGUUGUGGGAAAACUGGGGAACGACACCAUCGUACCCUGUGAAAAACAGGAUGCAGAUGGGCAUCCCUGCUUCCUCUUAUCUGCUGGCAAGGCCCGGAAGAUGAUAACAAAGGAAUUUCUGCUGAGAUCCCAGAGCCAGUAGCUGCCACUCCAAGGAGAGCUGACUCAACCACUUCGGAUUCGAGCUGUCACUCAAAAUAGAGCUGACUCGACCACUUUGGACUUUUUAUAAGCUUGUACUGCCAUCGUCAUUGUCGCUGUGGUCACCUUUGUCAACAGAACACCCGACGACCCACCACUACUGAAGAUCAAUGACUGAACUACGAACCACGUUGGACCAUGGUGGUGACUGUCUCCCUCCUGCUUCCUAUAUGGACUCCUUGCUUCUAUUUCCUAUCUUUUCUAUCACCCUUCUCCUCUUA